GGAGAGGUCGCAUAGCCCGGUCGAGUGCGCUCGCUUGGAAAGCGAGUAGACUGCAAGGUCUCAAGGGUUCGAAUCCCUUCCUCUCCGCCA
RNAcentral lists this transfer RNA (90 nucleotides) under Candidatus Omnitrophota bacterium. RNAcentral describes it as "tRNA-Ser". It matches the Rfam family "tRNA". Rfam says of the family: Transfer RNA (tRNA) molecules are approximately 80 nucleotides in length. Their secondary structure includes four short double-helical elements and three loops (D, anti-codon, and T loops). Further hydrogen bonds mediate the characteristic L-shaped molecular structure. tRNAs have two regions of fundamental functional importance: the anti-codon, which is responsible for specific mRNA codon recognition, and the 3' end, to which the tRNAs corresponding amino acid is attached (by aminoacyl-tRNA synthetases). tRNAs cope with the degeneracy of the genetic code in two manners: having more than one tRNA (with a specific anti-codon) for a particular amino acid; and 'wobble' base-pairing, i.e. permitting non-standard base-pairing at the 3rd anti-codon position. The record is from RNAcentral. Lineage: Bacteria; Pseudomonadati; Candidatus Omnitrophota.